RNAcentral lists this ribosomal RNA (437 nucleotides) under uncultured bacterium. Its description in RNAcentral is "bacterial SSU rRNA". It matches the Rfam family "Bacterial small subunit ribosomal RNA", at positions 355 to 786 of the family's 1533-position model. The record is from RNAcentral.
UAGGGAAUUUUCGUCAAUGGGGGAGCCCUGAACGAGCAAUGCCGCGUGUGUGAAGAAGGUCUUCGGAUCGUAAAGCACUGUUGUAAGUGAAGAAUGCCAUAUAGAGGAAAUGCUAUGUGGGUGACGGUAGCUUACCAGAAAGCCACGGCUAACUACGUGCCAGCAGCCGCGGUAAUACGUAGGUGGCAAGCGUUAUCCGGAAUCAUUGGGCGUAAAGGGUGCGUAGGUGGCACGAUAAGUCUGAAGUAAAAGGCAACAGCUCAACUGUUGUAUGCUUUGGAAACUGUCGAGCUAGAGUGCAGAAGAGGGCGAUGGAAUUCCAUGUGUAGCGGUAAAAUGCGUAGAUAUAUGGAGGAACACCAGUGGCGAAGGCGGUCGCCUGGUCUGUAACUGACACUGAUGCACGAAAGCGUGGGGAGCAAAUAGGAUUAGAUACC